GAUGAACGCUGGCUACAGGCUUAACACAUGCAAGUCGAGGGGAAACGACGGGGAAGCUUGCUUCCCCGGGCGUCGACCGGCGCACGGGUGAGUAACGCGUAUCCAACCUGCCUCUGACUGAGGGAUAACCCGUCGAAAGUCGGCCUAAUACCUCAUGGCAUCGUCUGCGGGCAUCCAACGACGAUUAAAGAUUUCAUCGGUCAGAGAUGGGGAUGCGUCUGAUUAGCUUGUUGGCGGGGUAACGGCCCACCAAGGCGACGAUCAGUAGGGGUUCUGAGAGGAAGGUCCCCCACAUUGGAACUGGGACACGGUCCAAACUCCUACGGGAGGCAGCAGUGAGGAAUAUUGGUCAAUGGGCGAGAGCCUGAACCAGCCAAGUAGCGUGCAGGAUGACGGCCCUAUGGGUUGUAAACUGCUUUUAUGCGGGGAUAAAGUGAGGGACGUGUCCUUCAUUGCAGGUACCGCAUGAAUAAGGACCGGCUAAUUCCGUG
RNAcentral lists this ribosomal RNA (491 nucleotides) under uncultured bacterium. RNAcentral's name for it is "partial 16S ribosomal RNA". It matches the Rfam family "Bacterial small subunit ribosomal RNA", at positions 28 to 507 of the family's 1533-position model. The record is from RNAcentral.